RNAcentral lists this ribosomal RNA (413 nucleotides) under uncultured microorganism. RNAcentral's name for it is "bacterial SSU rRNA". It matches the Rfam family "Archaeal small subunit ribosomal RNA", at positions 330 to 745 of the family's 1478-position model. The record is from RNAcentral.
GUGCACCAGGCGAGAAACCUCCGCAAUACACGAAAGUGUGACGGGGCCAUCCCGAGUGCCGUCCGCUGAGGACGGCUUUUCCCCAGUGUACACAGCUGGGGGAAUAAGGAGAGGGCAAGCCUGGUGUCAGCCGCCGCGGUAAUACCAGCUCUCCGAGUGGUGGGGACGCUUAUUGGGCCUAAAGCAUCCGUAGCCGGCUGGGCAAGUCCUCCGUUAAAUCCAACGAUUCAAUCGUUGGGCUGCGGGGGAUACUGUCCAGCUUGGGGGCGGGAGAGGCCGACGGUAUUCCCGGGGUAGGGGUGAAAUCCUAUAAUCCCGGGAGGACCACCAGUGGCGAAGGCUGUCGGCUAGAACGCGCCCGACGGUGAGGGAUGAAAGCUGGGGGAGCGAACCGGAUUAGAUACCCCUGUAGU